AAUGCCGGAUGCUCCGACUCCUCGCAUGGGGUGUCGGGAAAGAUUUCAUCGGUAUGGGAUGGGGUCGCGUCCUAUCAGGUAGUCGGCGGGGUAACGGCCCACCGAGCCUACGACGGGUAGCCGGCCUGAGAGGGCGACCGGCCACAUUGGGACUGAGAUACGGCCCAGACUCCUACGGGAGGCAGCAGUGGGGAAUAUUGCACAAUGGGCGCAAGCCUGAUGCAGCGACGCCGCGUGCGGGAUGACGGCCUUCGGGUUGUAAACCGCUUUUGAUCGGGAGCAAGCCUUCGGGUGAGUGUACCUUUCGAAUAAGCACCGGCUAACUACGUGCCAGCAGCCGCGGUAAUACGUAGGGUGCAAGCGUUAUCCGGAAUUAUUGGGCGUAAAGGGCUCGUAGGCGGUUCGUCGCGUCCGGUGUGAAAGUCCAUCGCUUAACGGUGGAUCUGCGCCGGGUACGGGCGGGCUGGAGUGCGGUAGGGGAGACUGGAAUUCCCGGUGUAACGGUGGAAUGUGUAGA
RNAcentral lists this ribosomal RNA (517 nucleotides) under Bifidobacterium pseudocatenulatum. RNAcentral's name for it is "bacterial SSU rRNA". It matches the Rfam family "Bacterial small subunit ribosomal RNA", at positions 165 to 694 of the family's 1533-position model. Lineage: Bacteria; Bacillati; Actinomycetota; Actinomycetes; Bifidobacteriales; Bifidobacteriaceae. The record is from RNAcentral.